Callithrix jacchus (white-tufted-ear marmoset) is the source of this 116-nucleotide small nucleolar RNA. Its record names the gene U3. It matches the Rfam family "Small nucleolar RNA U3". From Rfam's summary of the family: Small nucleolar RNAs (snoRNAs) are involved in the processing and modification of rRNA in the nucleolus. Lineage: Eukaryota; Metazoa; Chordata; Mammalia; Primates; Cebidae. The record is from Ensembl.
AAGACUAUACUUUCAGGGAUCAUUUCUAUAGUGUGUUCAAGAACACUCCAUGUAGUUUGGGGGUUACGACCUGGAGAGAUGAUGGUGUGGUAACAGUGGCACACAGUCUAGGAGGG